RNAcentral lists this ribosomal RNA (1375 nucleotides) under uncultured Gammaproteobacteria bacterium. Its description in RNAcentral is "partial 16S ribosomal RNA". It matches the Rfam family "Bacterial small subunit ribosomal RNA", at positions 28 to 1397 of the family's 1533-position model. The record is from RNAcentral. Lineage: Bacteria; Pseudomonadati; Pseudomonadota; Gammaproteobacteria.
AACGAACGCUGGCGGCGUGGAUAAGACAUGCAAGUCGAACGGGACAUUAUUUGUAGCAAUACAGAUGAUGUUCAGUGGCGCAAGGGUGCGUAACACGUGAGCAACCUGCCUUGAAGUGGGGGAUAGCUCGCCGAAAGGCGAAUUAAUACCGCAUGUGGUAGCAAUACUAAAGCCGGGGCAACCUGGCGCUUCUUGAUGGGCUCGCGGCCUAUCAGCUAGUUGGUGAGGUAAUAGCUCACCAAGGCUAUGACGGGUAGCUGGUCUGAGAGGAUGAUCAGCCACACUGGGACUGAGACACGGCCCAGACUCCUACGGGAGGCAGCAGUGGGGAAUAUUGGACAAUGGGGGCAACCCUGAUCCAGCCAUACCGCGUGUGUGAAGAAGGCCUUCGGGUUGUAAAGCACUUUCAGUGGGGAGGAAAAGUUGCCGGCGAAUACCCGGCGACCGUGACGCUACCUGCAGAAGAAGCACCGGCAAACUCCGUGCCAGCAGCCGCGGUAAUACGGAGGGUGCGAGCGUUAAUCGGAAUUACUGGGCGUAAAGCGCGCGUAGGCGGUUUGGUAAGCUAGAUGUGAAAGCCCUGGGCUCAACCUGGGAACUGCGUCCAGAACUGCCAAGCUAGAGUAUGGUAGAGGGCAGUGGAAUUUCCGGUGUAGCGGUGAAAUGCGUAGAGAUCGGAAGGAACACCAGUGGCGAAGGCGACUGCCUGGACCAAUACUGACGCUGAGGUGCGAAAGCGUGGGGCGCAAACAGGAUUAGAUACCCUGGUAGUCCACGCCGUAAACGAUGUCAACUAGCCGUUGGGCUCCUUGAGGGUCUAGUGGCGCAGCUAACGCGAUAAGUUGACCGCCUGGGGAGUACGGCCGCAAGGUUAAAACUCAAAUGAAUUGACGGGGGCCCGCACAAGCGGUGGAGCAUGUGGUUUAAUUCGAUGCAACGCGAAGAACCUUACCAGGCCUUGACAUCCCCGGAACUUGGCAGAGAUGCCUUGGUGCCUUCGGGAACCGGGUGACAGGUGCUGCAUGGCUGUCGUCAGCUCGUGUCGUGAGAUGUUGGGUUAAGUCCCGUAACGAGCGCAACCCUUGUCCUUAGUUGCCAGCGCGUAAUGGCGGGAACUCUAAGGAGACUGCCGGUGACAAACCGGAGGAAGGUGGGGAUGACGUCAAGUCAUCAUGGCCCUUACGGCCUGGGCUACACACGUGCUACAAUGGCCGGUACAGAGGGUUGCCAACCCGCGAGGGGGAGCUAAUCCCAGAAAACCGGUCGUAGUCCGGAUCGGAGUCUGCAACUCGACUCCGUGAAGUCGGAAUCGCUAGUAAUCGCGAAUCAGAAUGUCGCGGUGAAUACGUUCCCGGGCCUUGCACUCACCGCCCGU